GCCCGGUUGGCUCAGUCCGUGGAGCACGCGACUCUUGAUCUUGGGGUUGUGAGUUCAAGUCCCACAUUGGGUG
RNAcentral lists this transfer RNA (73 nucleotides) under Felis catus (domestic cat). It matches the Rfam family "tRNA". Rfam says of the family: Transfer RNA (tRNA) molecules are approximately 80 nucleotides in length. Their secondary structure includes four short double-helical elements and three loops (D, anti-codon, and T loops). Lineage: Eukaryota; Metazoa; Chordata; Mammalia; Carnivora; Felidae. RNAcentral also lists the same sequence under 3 other names. The record is from Rfam by way of RNAcentral.